CCGGAUGUGGCUCAGUUUGGUAGAGCACCUGGUUUGGGACCAGGGGGUCGUAGGUUCAAAUCCUGCUAUCCGGA
Molecule: transfer RNA, 74 nt
Filed under: Bacillus cereus group sp. N6
Lineage: Bacteria; Bacillati; Bacillota; Bacilli; Caryophanales; Bacillaceae
Description: tRNA-Pro
Rfam family: tRNA
About the family: Transfer RNA (tRNA) molecules are approximately 80 nucleotides in length. Their secondary structure includes four short double-helical elements and three loops (D, anti-codon, and T loops).
Source: RNAcentral